This 609-nucleotide small RNA is filed under the name Cryptococcus neoformans H99. Its description in RNAcentral is "Cryptococcus neoformans var. grubii H99 hypothetical RNA". The record is from RNAcentral. Lineage: Eukaryota; Fungi; Basidiomycota; Tremellomycetes; Tremellales; Cryptococcaceae.
GCCAAACCUUCGGACUGCCAUUUCCACAAACAAAGCCACCCUGCAUUCUUCAGACAACGGUCCUUCGCAAUCUGAUGACCAUGAUGUAGAGCCGUUUACAGCUUAAAAAGCCGAAAGCAAGAGCAAAUAGCCUUUUGCGCGGCCCACUGAACAUGCUUCUUGGCAGCUGUUGGAGAUGUAGGCAGGGAUUGCGGUCGAGCUAGCGUAAGGAGGCAAGGUCGCAUUGGUCUCUUGUCGAGGAAGUGGAUUUCUUGUCUGAGCGGCAUCAGACCUGACGUUGUUUAUUUGUGAAUCCCGCUACUUUCACCCUCGCUCACACCGAGAUAGUGGGACGACGAAUAGGGAUAAAGAUUAGAGUAUGGCGAAAUUUCUAGCAGUCGGACCAAUAACUGAGAUCGUGGAAGCGUUGUUGAUGAUUGAGUGUUGCAAUAAGUAUCUUGUUUUUCUUCAUUCAGUUUUGAGCUCUCCAGCAGCAAUCAUCGUCCUGGGCUGGCCCCGUACCCGAUCAGGAACCUCCACUAUACGCAAACUUUCGAGUGCCAGCUGGCAGGGUGACAAGAGUUGCACUGUCAUGACGUCAGAUGUACGAUCCAUUUGAGGUGUGCCUAC